Molecule: long non-coding RNA, 3501 nt
Organism: Lineus longissimus
Lineage: Eukaryota; Metazoa; Nemertea; Pilidiophora; Heteronemertea; Lineidae
Exons: 8
Source: RefSeq, a predicted model, not a curated record
ACAUCCGGGGUCUAGGCCUACUUGAUUAGCAUUGUGAUGAAGUAAGGGUCGAUCUCCUGGAUGCAUAUGGAUAUGCAUCAUCUUGCAAACACUAGGGCCUACAACACGACUUCUCCUUUCGCAGUAAUAUGACGCAUACCGUCCGCAAUUGCAACAAAAGAUUCUUGCUGGUAUGGUUUGCAAGGUGAAGGGUUACAUUUAGCUAGAUGCCACAAACCUUGUCCGCAAUUGCAGCCGAAGAUUUUUGGAUGAACCGCGAAAAUCAUCAGAUGAAGGCUUUCAGUUGUCCAGGCCAGGCCAGGUGACCAAUGACGAUGAUAGAGCGGGUUCGAUUCAAGCUAUACGCUUGGUGUAUUUGGUUAUCGUGACUAGCGACUGAGUUUUACCUCACGUCAAUAGCGCGGUGGCUGGGUCCCAGGCAUGCUUGCCACUUUGUUCCACGGUCCUCAUCUAAGUUUCGACGGUGAUGACAUGGACUUAGGUUCAAAGUACGUGUUCCCCUUGAGUCAUUGUGGUUGAUUGAUGGGGGCAAUAAACAGUUGCGUGUCGCUAGUCAUUCAAUUGGUCCCCUUGUUUUAGAGUGUUGGCGGGAUAAGUCUUACGACUGUUAGCAAUAGUAAGCAAUAGCUGGCCAGCGACCCCCUACCUGAUCUCGAGGGGGAUGGAAUGACUGGGGAAUAGGCCUGUUGUUAACCUGCGGAAUUUCGUCGGACGAAAUGUCAGGCGUGUCCGUGUGGGACUUGUGCUAAACCAGUUUAGUACAUAUGACGAAGACAUUGGGCUCUUUGAAUAACAACAGUGUCCUUGACCUCCUUGUGCCUCACAAAGCUAAUAAUAUACACCCCCUGAAAUCGACAAGACGGCGAUGAAGAAGGAGAGCCGGCCUCCAGCUUGUCAGCCGAGAAGACACUGGAUGGACCCCAAGGAUAUGUUGCUGCCAAUGUUGGAGCCAUACAGGGCAGCCCGAGCCAACAUUUACAAGGGCCACAAGGACAAGGGCCACAAGGACAAGGGACACAAGGACAAGGGACACAAGGACAAGGGACACAAAGACGAUGUUGCAGUCUACAGGCCCUCUGCAGAUUGAGAUGAUGGCUGUCGACCCAACCACUCAACCAAGAUCUACAAUUUGUGCUAUGGUAGAUGUGACUCUCAAAGAUUUUGGAUGAUGAAGGAAUCCAACGCAUAUAUGUCGCUCACAGAUACAGGUAGAAGACUGAGAGUUGAGUGGAUUCAGUGGGUCGAAGGGUUGCGCUGAGGGAUAUCCAUGUGCAGGAGUGACGAACCACAGUUCAGCAAACAAUGCCUUGACAGACCAAUUCAAGGAGAACCUUCGCUAAGAUCAGGAAGGGAACGUUUCUGUGUGGAUGGAUUGGACACUCAAAUGUCCGUCAUUCUAAUUAACUAUAAUGACAAUUCAACUCCGAAGGGACUCUCUGGACUUGGGGAAAGUUACGGACAUAGAGCCCUGACAUGAUAUCCUGCAGCCACCAUGAGGACAGCCUAUCUCAUACUUUCGGAAGGAUGCCAUCACAUGCAUGAUGAGCCAUCCCACAGAAGGGAGAAGGAUGUUGUUGACCCAGCACAUCCCAACCAUGCUCCCAUCGCCGUCAAGUAACAGUACGACGGUUAGAUUGUAUUUUGUCACCGUAGGCUUUAUCGUUUUAUCAAAAUAUCUGAUUGAAAGGUGAUUUAAUGAAAAUUCAAAUUUUUCUGAUGGUGAGAAGGCAAAUAUUUACCUUGCUUAUGACAAGCAUAGAUUAUUUUAAUCUGUGUUUGGUAAUGACCAUGACUUGUGCCAUGGUUCAAAAUCUUACACUUUUCAAAGAAAGAAUUGAAAUUAUGGGGGGGUUGGGUUGUUUCUGGUUAACAGGGGAGCCAAUGAUAAAGCACGCCAGAACCCAAACAAAAUAAUUUUCAAGCUAAAUUUUGUGCUUAAGAUAAGAAGGAAGUUUAAGGGGGAUGGGUUGUUUGUGGCUACCAGAGGAGCCAACAGCCGCCUUGGGCAUAUGAGGACCCUGAAAUUCUUUUCAGGCAAAAGAUAUUUUUCUGCUUUAAAAUCACCAAAUUCAUCAGAUAUUUAUUUAAUUACUGGUAUAUCCAUCACUUUAGACAUGGGGUCCAUGUGUUGUUGAUUCGCUGACCCCACGAAACAAGAACACAUGUGUCUGAUGGAACUGUAGGCCUUUUAUACUGUUUCUCAAUCUCAUCAGUACCACAGAAUCAACUGAUAUGGCCUGGGCCCGAUGCCCUGGACCUUGCAUCACACUGGCUGGCUCAAUUGCUCAAUACAUGUACCUUCAUGCUCGAGACAAAUGACCAACAGUGAUAUGUUGACUUUGAAUUUCCUCCUUCUUGAAAUACCAAAACAUCUUUCCAAUUGAACUAAAUAGUUAGAUAAACUCUGUUUUAUUGAAAAUUUAAAGACUGAUCCUUCCCCAGUGGUCAUACAAUGAGCCGUUGUCAAAGCGUGUCAUUCGACAAUGGUGGCAUGCAUGCAUGUUUUGUUACGGCUUACCAGGGACCCCAAAUUGUUGAUGAUGAUGUUGUCCAUGGGUACAUCUCCUUGGACAAUAAGUCAGCACAUGGUGCCUAUGCCAUCAUGACAAUCAUUUGAAAGAUUUAAAGUUGGCUUGAUUUAGAAAAGUGUAAUUUAAAGACGUCAACUUUUAGGCGUUUUAAAAUUUUUCGACUUGGUACUGAAUUGAUUGAGAAAAGUGCUAUUUGAAAACGUCAACUUUUAGACGUUUUAAACUGUUUGUCCCCUAUGAAUGUUUUUUGUAAAUCCUGUAUGUAAAUAGUUUGUAAAAUGUCUAUUUGAGAUCUAGACUCCAUGACUUGGCAAAAAGUAUGGCAAAGUCAACUUUUAAUCUUUGCCCUGUCAAGGUCACCUCUUUUGUCAUGCAAAUGACAUGUCAGAACUGCUCCUUUUGUCAUGCUGAUUGGCAGCCAGCUCUGUCAAGUAGCCAUGACAAAUGUGGUUCCUUUGUUAUUCAAAUUGGGUCCUGCAAAUCAACAGCAGUGACCAAACCUAUUGUAAGCUCACAUGGCUCACCUGAAGCUUCAUGUAUUAUAAACAUGAUGAAUGCAUGAAGAGGUUUAGUGCCAACUCAAACCAUUGUGGUGGAGUAGUUGAGUCUAUUGUGUUUGAUCUCAAUUUAGCAUUGUGUUGCAAGGACACUUAUCAGUGUUUCUUUGUGACAUCUUGUAAAGAAGUUUACCAAGUCUUAAAGGGAUAGUGCUACUGCCUAUCUCCUGGUUGUCUUCUUGUAUUGGGCUUUCGGAGUGGUGCAGUAAAAAAAAAUAUUGACCACGAUCAUUGUAUAAACUAUAAAGUACAAUGUGUUAAGUCAUUUCAAACCUAAGCGCCUGUCACCUGUGUGAUGGAGAUGGCGACUCCCUCCGAUUGCGUAGGUUUUCUCCCGGUAUGCGGGUUUCCUCCUACACUACAUUCCAUAUCGUCAUGUGUUUUCCUUGUAAUGUACAACAAUAAAGUUUUUU